RNAcentral lists this ribosomal RNA (470 nucleotides) under uncultured bacterium. Its description in RNAcentral is "bacterial SSU rRNA". It matches the Rfam family "Bacterial small subunit ribosomal RNA", at positions 333 to 793 of the family's 1533-position model. The record is from RNAcentral.
CAACUCCUACGGGGAGGCAGCAGUGGGGAAUAUUGCACAAUGGGGGAAACCCUGAUGCAGCCAUGCCGCGUGUGUGAAGAAGGCCUUCGGGUUGUAAAGCACUUUCAGUAGGGAGGAAGGUAGUGUAGUUAACACCUGCACUAUUUGACGUUACCUACAGAAGAAGCACCGGCUAACUCCGUGCCAGCAGCCGCGGUAAUACGGAGGGUGCGAGCGUUAAUCGGAAUUACUGGGCGUAAAGCGCAUGCAGGCGGCCUGUUAAGUCAGAUGUGAAAGCCCGGGGCUUAACCUCGGAAUUGCAUUUGAAACUGGCAGGCUAGAGUCUUGUAGAGGGGGGUAGGAAUUUCAGGUGUAGCGGUGAAAUGCGUAGAGAUCUGAAGGAAUACCAGUGGCGAAGGCGGCCCCCUGGACAAAGACUGACGCUCAGAUGCGAAAGCGUGGGGAGCAAACAGGAUUAGAUACCCUGGUAG